RNAcentral lists this unclassified non-coding RNA (249 nucleotides) under Diaporthe helicis. RNAcentral describes it as "partial contains 5.8S ribosomal RNA, internal transcribed spacer 2, and large subunit ribosomal RNA". The record is from RNAcentral. Lineage: Eukaryota; Fungi; Ascomycota; Sordariomycetes; Diaporthales; Diaporthaceae.
CGCACAUUGCGCCCUCUGGUAUUCCGGAGGGCAUGCCUGUUCGAGCGUCAUUUCAACCCUCAAGCCUGGCUUGGUGAUGGGGCGCUGCUCUGUAAAGAGCAGGCCCUCAAAUCUAGUGGCGGGCUCGCCAGGACCCCGAGCGCAGUAGUUAAACCCUCGCUCUGGAAGGCCCUGGCGGUGCCCUGCCGUUAAACCCCCAACUUCUGAAAAUUUGACCUCGGAUCAGGUAGGAAUACCCGCUGAACUUAA